RNAcentral lists this ribosomal RNA (798 nucleotides) under uncultured bacterium. RNAcentral describes it as "bacterial SSU rRNA". It matches the Rfam family "Bacterial small subunit ribosomal RNA", at positions 60 to 857 of the family's 1533-position model. The record is from RNAcentral.
AGUCGACGAAGAUUUUAGAAUGAGAGCUUCGGCAGGAUUUUUAUCUAUCUUAGUGGCGGACGGGUGAGUAACGUGUGGGCAACCUGCCCUGUACUGGGGAAUAAUCAUUGGAAACGAUGACUAAUACCGCAUGUGGUCCUCGGAAGGCAUCUUCUGAGGAAGAAAGGAUUUAUUCGGUACAGGAUGGGCCCGCAUCUGAUUAGCUAGUUGGUGAGAUAACAGCCCACCAAGGCGACGAUCAGUAGCCGACCUGAGAGGGUGAUCGGCCACAUUGGGACUGAGACACGGCCCAAACUCCUACGGGAGGCAGCAGUGGGGAAUAUUGCACAAUGGGCGAAAGCCUGAUGCAGCAACGCCGCGUGAAGGAUGAAGGGUUUCGGCUCGUAAACUUCUAUCAAUAGGGAAGAAACAAAUGACGGUACCUAAAUAAGAAGCCCCGGCUAACUACGUGCCAGCAGCCGCGGUAAUACGUAGGGGGCAAGCGUUAUCCGGAAUUACUGGGUGUAAAGGGAGCGUAGGCGGCAUGGUAAGCCAGAUGUGAAAGCCUUGGGCUUGACCCGAGGAUUGCAUUUGGAACUAUCAAGCUAGAGUACAGGAGAGGAAAGCGGAAUUCCUAGUGUAGCGGUGAAAUGCGUAGAUAUUAGGAAGAACACCAGUGGCGAAGGCGGCUUUCUGGACUGAAACUGACGCUGAGGCUCGAAAGCGUGGGGAGCAAACAGGAUUAGAUACCCUGGUAGUCCACGCCGUANACGAUGAGUGCUAGGUGNCGGGGAGGAAUCCUCGGUGCCGCAGCUAACG